GCCCGCCGGGGGCGGGGGGGGGGGCGGGGGCACGGGGGGCCUACGGGAGGCAGCAGUGAGGAAUAUUGGACAAUGGGCGAAAGCCUGAUCCAGCCAUGCCGCGUGUGUGAUGAAGGCCUUAGGGUUGUAAAGCACUUUCGACGGGGAUGAUAAUGACCGUACCCGAGAGAGGUAACUCU
RNAcentral lists this ribosomal RNA (179 nucleotides) under uncultured bacterium. RNAcentral describes it as "partial 16S ribosomal RNA". It matches the Rfam family "Bacterial small subunit ribosomal RNA", at positions 284 to 494 of the family's 1533-position model. The record is from RNAcentral.